UGCUCCAGGCGAGGCUCGAACUCGCAACCCCGGCAUGUCUCCACAGAAUACUGUCUAUAAGUACCGUGCGCUAACCGAUUGCGCCACUGGAGC
This 93-nucleotide transfer RNA is filed under the name Caligus rogercresseyi. RNAcentral's name for it is "tRNA-Ile". Lineage: Eukaryota; Metazoa; Arthropoda; Copepoda; Siphonostomatoida; Caligidae. The record is from RNAcentral.